UAGGGAAUAUUGGGCAAUGGAGGAAACUCUGACCCAGCCAUGCCGCGUGCAGGAUGACGGCCCUCUGGGUUGUAAACUGCUUUUAUACGGGAAGAAAAAAUACUACGUGUAGUAUACUGACGGUACCGUAAGAAUAAGGAUCGGCUAACUCCGUGCCAGCAGCCGCGGUAAUACGGAGGAUCCAAGCGUUGUCCGGAUUUAUUGGGUUUAAAGGGUGCGUAGGCGGAUCUUUAAGUCAGUGGUGAAAGCCUGCAGCUUAACUGUAGAACAGCCAUUGAAACUGAAGAUCUUGAAUGUGGUUAAAGUAGGCGGAAUGUAUCAUGUAGCGGUGAAAUGCUUAGAUAUGAUACAGAACACCGAUAGCGAAGGCAGCUUGCUGAACCAUUAUUGACGCUGAGGCACGAAAGCGUGGGGAGCGAACAG
Molecule: ribosomal RNA, 423 nt
Filed under: uncultured bacterium
Lineage: Bacteria
Description: bacterial SSU rRNA
Rfam family: Bacterial small subunit ribosomal RNA
Source: RNAcentral